GACCAGACUCCUACGGGAGGCAGCAGUGGGGAAUAUUGGGCAAUGGGCGCAAGCCUGACCCAGCAACGCCGCGUGAAGGAUGAAGGUUUUCGGAUUGUAAACUUCUGUCGCGAGGGACGAAGAAUGACGGUACCUCGUAAGAAAGCCCCGGCUAACUACGCGCCAGCAGCCGCGGUAAUACGUAGGUGGCAAGCGUUAUCCGGAUUUACUGGGUGUAAAGGGCGUGUAGGCGGGAAAGCAAGUCAGAUGUGAAAACCAUGGGCUCAACCUGUGGCCUGCAUUUGAAACUGUUUUUCUUGAGUACUGGAGAGGCAGACGGAAUUCCUAGUGUAGCGGUGAAAUGCGUAGAUAUUAGGAGGAACACCAGUGGCGAAGGCGGUCUGCUGGACAGCAACUGACGCUGAGGCGCGAAAGCGUGGGGAGCAAACAGGAUUAGAUACCCCCGUA
RNAcentral lists this ribosomal RNA (447 nucleotides) under uncultured bacterium. Its description in RNAcentral is "partial 16S ribosomal RNA". It matches the Rfam family "Bacterial small subunit ribosomal RNA", at positions 329 to 792 of the family's 1533-position model. The record is from RNAcentral.